Panicum virgatum (switchgrass) is the source of this 5934-nucleotide RNA transcript. It is a transcript of the gene named putative disease resistance protein RGA3, with no coding region annotated. The record is from RefSeq and is a predicted model, not a curated record. Lineage: Eukaryota; Viridiplantae; Streptophyta; Magnoliopsida; Poales; Poaceae. The transcript has 5 exons.
GGUCGACUGUAGAAUCAGCUUCGCGUAAAUAGUGUUUGCUUUUCCAGUUGUUCGGAUUCUAACCUUUAUCGCAAUCAUCAAACCGUGCUGUGCUAGGGGGCAGCUGCUCGCACCUUUGUAUCAUCCUUCACUAUGCUCCUUGCUUACCCACACAUUGCGCCUCUCCAACCUCUCUGCGGUUCUCUGCCACGUUCCAACGCACCAUCGUCUGUUCCUCUGUGACUCCGGCAGGAGCAUCCCCUCGCCGCUGCUUGUCGUCAGAUCCAUGGAGCAUGAUUGAUCACAAAAGAUAUCCUCAACCUAAUGCCUCCAGCCAUUGAGGGCUGCCAGCAGGUGGACCUUAUAUCUUCCUCCUGCAGAUUGAUCUCUUUCUUUGAAACGACUGAAUAACUCAUGAUUAAUUGCUCUGUAAAUACUUGAUCCUCCUGCAGCAUCGUGAUCGGAUACCUUGUGACGUGACAAUGGAUUUCGCCAUCAGCGCGGCAUGCUGGGUGGUGCUCCAUGUGAUGCUCCCAGUCUUUUAGCUGUGUUUCUUCCUCCUUUAUCAUCAACACGUUGCGCAUCUCCAACCUCUCUGCACUCCUCUGCUACACUGUAACUCGCUUGUCAGUGCUUGUUCUCAGACAUCUUCCACGUCUUCCAUCGUGAGGAUCCAUGGAUUUUGCCAUCAGCGCAGCGCGUUUGGUGGUGGGCAGGGCGCUGAGCCCCGUGACGGACGGCCUGCUCGAGUCGUGGACGGCCAGCUCGGAGCUCGGCCCCAACGUCCGCGCCCUCAAGCUGGAGCUCCUGUACGCCAAGGGGUUGCUCGACAACGCCCGUGGCCGGGACGUCCGCAGCCCGGCGCUGGGGGAGCUCCUGCUGGAGCUCCAGCACCAAGCGUACAGCGCCGACGACGUGCUGGAUGAGCUGGAGUACUUCCGCAUCCAGGACGAGCUGCAGGGGACGUACGAGACCACCGAUGCAGAGGACCGGGGUCUCGUCGGCAGCGUCGUCCUCCACGCUCGUCACACGUCAAGAGCCGUCGCACACAAGCUCAAGUGCUCCUGCUCGUGUGCUGCUGUGAUCCGCAGUGAUUCCAGCGAGGAUUCCAAGAAAGGAUGUUUCCCAAUGGGCUGCUCAUCAUGUGGUGGCGAAAACGCCAAUGAGAUCCAGGAGGAGGCUGAAAGGACAUGCUUCCGUAAGAUGGCUUCAACAGCUCGCAACACUGCCAUUGCUGUCGGUAGGCGCCUUCCAUGCUACUCUGUCCCCUCUGUCCAAGGUGAUACUAACACAGACAUGCCACGGAGUAGUAGGCGGCCAUUCCUCUGUUGCUCUUGGUCAUCCAAGGCUCAACACAGAAAAUGUUCUGUUCAUGCACCAAAACUUAAGUUUGAUAGGGUGGAGCUGUCCAGAAAGAUGGUGGACAUUGUAGAGCAGCUCAAGCCAGUCUGCGCUAAGGUCUCCACCAUUCUUGACAUGGAAUUGGUGGGCUCUGCAAUUCAUAAGUUAGAGCUCUUGGGAGGAAAUGGCACCAGUAUACAUCAAAGCACUACUCUGAACCGACCCAGAACUUCGGACCCACGGAUUAUACAGCCUAAGUUUUAUGGCAGGGAUAACCUGAGAAAGGAACUUGUGGAUGCCAUUACCCAAGGUAAAUACUCGGCCAAUGAACUCACUGUUCUAUCAUUAUUUGGUCCAGGGGGUAUUGGCAAGACAGAAUUCACAAAACAUAUAUACCAAGAUGUAAACAAGCACUUUCAAGACCAAGAUGCAAACAAGCACUUUCAAGUCUCCAUAUGGAUAUGUGUAUCACAGAAUUUCAGUGCAAGUAGAUUGUUAGAAGAGAUUAAAACGAAGAUACCAAAAGGAGACAAUGAAAAUGAUAUUACAGGUAAUGUUGAAGAACAAAUCCGGAAACGGCUGCAGCUUAAACGAUUCUUGCUUGUCUUGGAUGACAUGUGGACAUAUGAUGAGAAUGAGUGGAAAAAACUUCUAGCUCCAUUUGAAAACACAGGAAUAAAAGGCAAUAUGAUCAUAGUCACCACACGACGUCCAAACGUAGCAGAACAUGUUGCAACAAAGGGUUGUUUUAGAAGACUUGAGCGUCUAAAUGAUGAAGAUUGUAUGCAUUUAUUGAAAGAAUUGGUGUUUGAUGACCAACAAUCCUGGGAAAACCAUUCUAAUUUGUAUGAGGUCGGGCAGAACAUAGUGAAGAGACUAAAGGGUUUCCCUCUUGCAGUUAAAACUGUUGGAAGAAUUCUGAGAAAGAGACGCACUGUCGACCACUGGACAAGUGUUUUGAACAGUAAAGAAUGGGAAGACCAAACUGGUGAUGAUGAUAUCAUGCCAGCAUUAAAGCUUAGCUACAGCUAUCUUCCUUUCGAUCUACAGCAGUGCUUUUCAUAUUGUGCCUUGUUUCCCGAAGAUUAUGAAUUUGGUAACACAGAGUUGAUUCACUUGUGGAUAGGUUUAGGAUUACUAGGUGCAAGUAAUCAGAACAAGAGAGUUGAGGAUAUUGGAUUGGAUUAUAUAGAUGACUUGGUUGAUCAUGGUUUCUUCCAAAAGAGUGAAAAAGAGGAUAAUAAUCCUUGCUAUAUGAUCCACGACCUGCUACAUGAGCUGGCGGUAAAAGUUUCAGAAUACGAAUGUCUCAGUAUAGAUGGUUCUAAUGUGAAGUCCAAACAAAUUCCUGCAUCCAUACGUCACUUGACAAUCAUUGUAGAUACCACAGAUGUCAAGGAUAGAACCACCUUUGAAAACUUCAAAACAAACCUAGGUGUACUAGGUAAAAGAGUGAAAGCUGAAAAUUUACGUACUUUGAUGUUAUUUGGAGAUAAGCAUGGAAGCUUUUCCAAGACGUUCAGUGAAUUAUUUGAUAAGGCAAAAGCUCUUCGCGUUCUGUUCUUAUCCGAAGUACCCAGUAACUUGGAGGAUCUAUUGCCGAACUUUCCAAAGCUUGUCCAUCUUCGUUACUUGAGGAUCAAGGGACCUGCAACAACUCUGCCCAGCUACAUCUCCAGAUUUUAUCACUUGUUGGUCCUAGAUCUAUGCCAAUCCAACAUUCGCUUGGCUUCUGUAACAGAGAUGAGCAACCUUGUGAAAAUUCGCCAUUUUCUUGUUGAAGAUGGAGAUUGUCACUCUGAAAUUUCUGAGGUGGGAAAACUACAAUCUUUACAAGAGUUAAGGAGAUUUGAAGUGAAAAAAGAUAUCAGUGGAUUUGAGUUGAAGCAGUUGGGGAAAUUGCUAAAUCUCCGAGGAUCAUUGGCAGUAUGUAAUCUUGAAAAGAUAGAAGAAACGAAGGAAGCAGAUGAAGCAAAACUAGUAGACAUGAACUACUUAACGGGGUUAGAAUUGAAAUGGGGAACUAACGGGUCUAUCAAGGACCUGAAAAAAGAAGAUGAUGUCCUCGAAAAACUUAAACCAAACAGUAAUGUUCAAGAAGUAUGCAUAAGAGGGCAUGGAGGUACUACUUACCCCUCUUGGCUUCGUGAUCUGUACAUUACAAAUUUGGUACAUCUUUGUCUAGAUGGUGUAGCAUGGAAAAGUCUUCCACUUCUAGGGGAGUUGUGGACAGUUCAUGAGCAUGGUGAAGAGUGCCAACCCUAUAUCGGAGGCCAAACAUUUCAGAAACUAAAAAGAAUUGAACUGCGUAACAUUGAAACCCUGAAGAGAUGGCGUGAAAAUGGCACUCAUUCAUUCCCUGUUCUAGUGGAACUGGUUGUUCAAAAUUGCCCUGAGCUUAUAGAGUUGCCAUUUUCACAUUGCACUAGCUGCCCAGCUGAAAAAGAAGAAAUAGUGACUAUGUUUCCCAUGCUUCGGGAAAUAGAAAUUAGAAAUUGCCCUAAACUAUCUCCAUUGCCACCUAUUCCUUGGUCUGACACUCUGUGCAAAGCUAAAAUGUGGCAAACGGGUACUAGUAUUGAAUGGUUAUCUUACAGCAACAACAAACGGUGGGGCAAAGAUGUCAGUGUCGAAAUGGGAAAGGAUGCCCAUGAUAGUGAACUCUGGAAUAUGCUGGCUUUUAAUAAUCUGAGGGAUAUAGAGUCGUUCAGGAUGGAGAACUGCCCUCCUGUUCCUCUUGCUCGCAUGCAACCGCUAGAAUUUCUGAAGAGACUCUAUAUUCAGAAUUGCAGUAAUGUCUUGUGGCCAGUUGAAGGUGAAAACAAUUCCUGUUACAAGUUUCCAAUUGAAUAUCUCAGCAUCUGGAAUUGUGUUGCUACUGGGAAGGAAUUGACACAGUUCAUCUCAUAUUUUCCUAACCUCUCAGAGUUGGAUGUACGUAAUUGUAAAAUGGUAACGGGAUUGGGUGUGGCGGAGAAGCAGAUCACAUCAGCACCUACGCCAUCACCAUCAGCUUCAGAUGAGAAAACAGGGGAUGAACAAAUCAAACAGCUGCAACAACAGGCAAGUGGAGCGGACGAAAUUGAAAGUGCAGUGGAAGGACUGCUGCUUUUGCCUCCCCAAAUAAAGGAGUUGAGGAUUGAUGAUUGCCCAGAUCUGAGGCUCUUCUCUGGUUCACUCGAUGAAGGCACAGCGUCUAGCCAAAGGCUCCAAGGUCUGGGCUCCCUCAUAUCGUUUGUCACUUUUUUUUGCCCCAACUUGCUCUCCUCCUGUUCAUCCUCGACUUAUUGCCCUUUCCCGACGUCCCUGCAAUAUCUCGUGCUCGUGGAUGUGGAGGGCAUAUUCGCGUUUGCGCCUCUCUCAAACCUGACGGAUUUGUACAUAUCUAAUUGUGGCGAUCUCAGAGGCGAGGUCCUAUGGCCUCUCCUGGCGCAUGGCCACCUCACCAGAUUAACCAUCAAAGGAUGCCCGAACUUAUUUGGUUCAGAGCCACCACGGCUGGAUGAACAGAACCAUCCCCAUCCCUAUGGACUGCAGGAGCUCGUAACGGAUGGCAAAGCAGGAAUCCUUGCUGUGCCUCUCUGUGCCCCCCUCUCUGCGUCCCUCACCAAAUUAGAAUUUUAUGGCAACGAUGAUAUGGAGCACUUCACAAAGGAGCAAGAACAGGCCCUUCAGAUCCUCACCUCCCUUCAGGGGCUUGAAAUAUCAUCCUGCGAUAAGCUGCAGGGCAUGCCUGCAGGGCUAAGUCGACUUCCCAACCUCAAGAGAUUAGAGAUCAGCUACUGUAAAGCCAUACGGUUGUGGCCCAAGGACGGCCUUCCAAGUUCGCUGACAGAGUUAGAGAUCACCAACUGCCCAGCCAUCCGGUCACUGCCUAAGGGCAGCCUCCCGAGUUCAUUGCAAACGUUGGAUGUCCAUGAUGACGACAACAAUCAGGAGCUGAAGAGGCAGUGCCACAAGCUUCGAGGAACAAUUCCAAUAAUCAUGGCUUAGAGCAAUCCAAGGAUAAUAGAAAUCCAAUGUUGCAACUGCACUGAGUUGAUCCGUUUCAGUGAAGGGCCAAUUUUGCAGCCGCAUGAAUUUCAUCCAUCCUGUGUCUGUACUGUUUAACUCUUUGCUCACUAAUCUCCAUAGUUGGAGUGAUGAUUAUGCAAGAAAUUGGUUGGCAGAGGCAUUUUGUCAGUUUGGUCUGUGGCAGUGAAUUCAGCUUCCUGAAGUGUCUAUCAAUGGCUACUUGAGAUUGUCUGAUCAGCAGUUUGACUUUUUGGUGUACAUUUCCGCCAAAUUUAAGGUUAUUUCAGCAUCAUGUUGGCCUCUCCAGAUGAGCAUUGAAGAAUUCUAUCUUCUUCUGCUCAAGUGACGAGUUCUCUAGGGGCAUGAAAGAAUUGUUGACCAGCUCGUGUAACCUCUAGGUAUUGUAGAGAAGAUUACUUGUAUUGAUUAUCAUUAUAGUGGAAAUUUUGGCAGUCGGCCAUUUAGGUCCUGUGGUUUUUUACUUCUCGAUUUGGGGAUCUUUUUCCACGUAAAUCAUUGUCGCAUGUUGUUUCUGAAGUUUUCCUGUUGCUGGUUUACAAUUGUCAUCCGAUAAAACAAAGAAGGUUUGAAAGUUGUGCA